Callithrix jacchus (white-tufted-ear marmoset) is the source of this 712-nucleotide non-coding RNA. The record is from RefSeq and is a predicted model, not a curated record. Lineage: Eukaryota; Metazoa; Chordata; Mammalia; Primates; Cebidae.
CUGAGGCUUGGUAAAGCAGGUGAAGCAGGAGGCAACAGUGGGUCGGUGUCGAGGCUCCCACCUGACCUCUCCAGGGGGUCGACAGGAGGUUUCCUGGAUGCCAGGAAAAUGCCAGGGGUGGCGGAAAGUGACAGGGAUGAAGAAACCUCAGGUGGAGUUUCAGAGAGCGGGAUCUCAGCCUCAGGCAGGCCCAGACGGUGUGUGGUGUACUGUGUAGUUUUCCAGAGGCUAAAUGACAUGUGACACUGAAGCCAACUAAAUAUCAAAGAAGAUAUGAGUAUCCACCUGCAAAAUUGGAUGGAAUCCAAUUUCAUCUAUUAAGAUACCAAAAUAAUUUCCCUUUCUCACCUUGAAAUGACCUGAGCUAACAGAAGAAAUUUUCCUGCAUUGCUUAUGAGGAUCAUACAUAAAUCAAAAUGACCUGUUUGGAGGUUGCUGACAGUUCAGGCAUGGUGUCGGUGAUUAUGUGGAAUGCCCCGUGUCCUGAGUGGUUUAAAAUUUUGCGAGUUGGUUUAGUUUUUCUGCUUCAAGAUUAUUCUGUUAAAAAGAAUUAUCCAUUUAGAAUACAGCCUGUCCCCAUGGAUCCACAGAUCAAACUAAUUUCUACAAUGAAAAACACAAUAAAAGAUGGUGAGAGGAUGCUAAUUUACAACAUGCCACCUCUGCUAUAUAGAAUUGUAGGACCAGAUUUUCAUCAUGAAAACUCUCUAAG